RNAcentral lists this ribosomal RNA (443 nucleotides) under Fictibacillus halophilus. RNAcentral describes it as "bacterial SSU rRNA". It matches the Rfam family "Bacterial small subunit ribosomal RNA", at positions 69 to 496 of the family's 1533-position model. The record is from RNAcentral. Lineage: Bacteria; Bacillati; Bacillota; Bacilli; Caryophanales; Fictibacillaceae.
AUGAUGAGGAGCUUGCUCCUCUGAUUUAGCGGCGGACGGGUGAGUAACACGUGGGUAAUCUGCCUGUAAGACGGGGAUAACUCCGGGAAACCGGGGCUAAUACCGGAUAAUAAGAGAAGAAGCAUUUCUUCUUUUUGAAAGUCGGUUUCGGCUGACACUUACAGAUGAGCCCGCGGCGCAUUAGCUAGUUGGUGAGGUAACGGCUCACCAAGGCGACGAUGCGUAGCCGACCUGAGAGGGUGAUCGGCCACACUGGGACUGAGACACGGCCCAGACUCCUACGGGAGGCAGCAGUAGGGAAUCUUCGGCAAUGGGCGAAAGCCUGACCGAGCAACGCCGCGUGAGCGAUGAAGGCCUUCGGGUCGUAAAGCUCUGUUGUUAGAGAAGAACAAGUACGAGAGUAACUGCUCGUACCUUGACGGUACCUAACCAGAAAGCCACGG